UACGUAGGGGGCAAGCGUUGUCCGGAUUUACUGGGCGUAAAGCGCGUGUAGGCGGAAGCGAAAGUCCGGUGUGAAAGCCCCCCGCUCAACGGGGGGAGGUCGCUGGAAACUGCGCUUCUUGAGGGCGGCAGAGGGAAGUGGAAUUGCUGGUGUAGCGGUGAAAUGCGUAGAGAUCAGCAGGAACACCCGUGGCGAAGGCGGCUUCCUGGGCCGCGCCUGACGCUGAGACGCGAAAGCGUGGGGAGCGAACGGG
RNAcentral lists this ribosomal RNA (253 nucleotides) under uncultured bacterium. RNAcentral describes it as "partial 16S ribosomal RNA". It matches the Rfam family "Bacterial small subunit ribosomal RNA", at positions 524 to 776 of the family's 1533-position model. The record is from RNAcentral.